Molecule: ribosomal RNA, 1338 nt
Filed under: Triticum aestivum (bread wheat)
Lineage: Eukaryota; Viridiplantae; Streptophyta; Magnoliopsida; Poales; Poaceae
Description: partial small subunit ribosomal RNA
Source: RNAcentral
AUGAGCAGCGGCGGCGGCGGCGACGACGCGGGGGACGGCGGGCGGGCCGAGUGGCAGCGCAUCUACGACCGGGUCCAGGCGCUCGCCGCCGGCCGCGCGCGGCUGGAGGCGCGCAACAGGACCCAGCACGAGUUCUGGGACGCCCGCGACAAGAUCAACCACUCCCGCCUCCACCAGGCGGAGCUGAGCAGGAGCAGGUGGGAGGCGGCCUGCAGGGAGGUGCUCCCUGGGGAUGAUCCCAAGCUCGCCGAACUGCUAGAGAGUGAUUUGGAGGAUUCAAGAACUUGUGAAGCUCUUUUGGACACCGAAAACUCAGAACUGCUGGUACAACUGAAGGAAGAGCUUCAUGAAAACACUGCAGAUCAUGAGCACAAUUCCGGAGAUUUAAUAUCAGAGCUAAGAAAGUUAAAGCAGGUCUAUGAGACCAGAUGCUCGAAUAAGGAUAAGGAAGCUACUGAAGCAGUGCAGAAAUUUCAACAGAAGUUAGAGGAGCUGCACGUGGCAGCCUGUAAGAAGGAUGAUGAGAUUGGAAGAUUGCAGGCAGAAGCUUCUGCAUCCACAAAUAAGAUACUGGUUCUUGAGGGCAAGCUAAAUGAGAUGCACUCCUUGGAUAAGGCGAAUGAUAUCCAGAGCCUCAAAGUUGGGCAACCUGAGACUCAUAAACACAAGCUUGCCUUCUUAUCAACUAUACAAUCCGAGGAAGCUGGAAAUAGUCUAGAGAUUAUUCAAGAGAAUGCAGAUCAUGGGGCCAUCGCAGGAGAUUUUAGAGCAGAGCUAAGAAAACUGAAGCAAGCUUAUGAAACCCUUAGCUCAAACAAGGAUAAGGAAAUUUCUGCAGCACUUGCAGUGGAGGAUUUUCUUUUGAACAAACUGCUGAGAAUGGACAAGGACAACGCAGGGCUCCUUAAGAUAAAGGAAGUGGAGGCAGCACAAGCUAACGAAGCAGCACAAAAGCUUCAACAGACUGUAGAGGAGCUGCAAGUGGCUGUCCGAAAUAAAGAUGAUGAGAUUGGCACAUUGCGAGCAGAAGUGGGGCACCUUAAGAUAAAACAAGUGGAGGCAGCACAAAAGCUUCAGCAGAAUGUAGAGGAACUGCAAGUGGCAGUCCUAAAUAAGGAUAACAAGAUUGGCAGAUUGCAAGCAGAAGCGGGGAUCCUUAACAUAAAAGAAGUGGAGUCAGUACAAAAGCUUCAGCAGAAUGUAGAUGUGCUGCAAGUAGAAUUACGAAAUAAGGACGAUGGAAACUGUAGAUUGCAAGCAGAAGCUGCUAAUCCAGAAAAAAAAGAUGAAGAUUACUGUCAGGGUACACAAUGGCAUGAGCAGGUGUCACGCUCUUGA